This 543-nucleotide ribosomal RNA is filed under the name Triticum aestivum (bread wheat). Its description in RNAcentral is "partial small subunit ribosomal RNA". The record is from RNAcentral. Lineage: Eukaryota; Viridiplantae; Streptophyta; Magnoliopsida; Poales; Poaceae.
AUGGCAAGCCAUGCACUUCCUUCAGAGAGGCAUGUGAGCAUAGGCCUCAUUGAGCAUGACAGGACACUGGAUGAUUGCAUGACGGAGGCAACAACAUUUCAAAUGCCUUCUGCUCUUAGACGGUUGUUUGCGACUAUACUGGUAUUCUGUGAGGCAACACAAAUCCGUCAAUUGUGGGACAAACAUCUACCAUCGAUGGCUAAAGAUUACCGCCACACUGAGUCGAACGAGGCAACACUUGAGCAGAUGGUCCUUAGAGAUGUCAGGGAUCUGGUGCAAUCCAUGGGUAAGGAUAUUAAAAUGUAUGGACUUCCAGAUCUGGUUGACACAGAUGGUUCUUCUGACGCCGAGUAUAGAGAGGUAACAGAGGAGAGACAAGUUAGAGUUGACCAAGAGCAUCUACAUCUACUUAGUUGUUUGAAUAGUGAACAACUGGAUGGUUUCAACGACAUAAUGGAUCAUGUGACGAACCAAAAAAGCCAGAUAUUUUUUUUGAUGGUCCAGGAGGCAUUGGGAAGACGUACCUGUACAAGGCGUCCUUGA